CCUACGGGGGGCUGCAGUGGGGAAUAUUGGACAAUGGGGGCAACCCUGAUCCAGCCAUGCCGCGUGUGUGAAGAAGGCCCUCGGGUUGUAAAGCACUUUCAGUGAGGAAGAACGCCUGGUGGUUAAUACCCAUCAGGAAAGACAUCACUCACAGAAGAAGCACCGGCUAACUCCGUGCCAGCAGCCGCGGUAAUACGGAGGGGGCGAGCGUUAAUCGGAAUUACUGGGCGUAAAGCGCGCGUAGGUGGCUUGAUAAGCCGGUUGUGAAAGCCCCGGGCUCAACCUGGGAACGGCAUCCGGAACUGUCAAGCUAGAGUGCAGGAGAGGAAGGUAGAAUUCCCGGUGUAGCGGUGAAAUGCGUAGAGAUCGGGAGGAAUACCAGUGGCGAAGGCGGCCUUCUGGACUGACACUGACACUGAGGUGCGAAAGCGUGGGUAGCAAACAGGAUUAGAUACCCUGGUAGUC
RNAcentral lists this ribosomal RNA (465 nucleotides) under Vreelandella stevensii. Its description in RNAcentral is "partial 16S ribosomal RNA". It matches the Rfam family "Bacterial small subunit ribosomal RNA", at positions 338 to 795 of the family's 1533-position model. Lineage: Bacteria; Pseudomonadati; Pseudomonadota; Gammaproteobacteria; Oceanospirillales; Halomonadaceae. The record is from RNAcentral.